AACGCAACUUGCGCCACCUGUGGCAUGUCUGUUUGAGUACCAAUUCUCUAUGCAAUAUGCGAGUUGGCUCGGUUCGCCGGGCUCAAAUACGGUCUAUGUACAAGUGGAUAGUGUGAAGCUAGAGACGCACAGGCCUGGCCUACUGCUUCUUGUUCACACGUCCGCCUUUCCACCGGUCUCAAAUCAGGCAAGAUUACCCGCUGAACUUAA
RNAcentral lists this unclassified non-coding RNA (210 nucleotides) under uncultured fungus. RNAcentral's name for it is "partial contains 5.8S ribosomal RNA, internal transcribed spacer 2, and large subunit ribosomal RNA". The record is from RNAcentral. Lineage: Eukaryota; Fungi.